This is a long non-coding RNA of Oxyura jamaicensis (ruddy duck), 6028 nucleotides long. RefSeq lists it as uncharacterized. The transcript is spliced from 2 exons. Lineage: Eukaryota; Metazoa; Chordata; Aves; Anseriformes; Anatidae. The record is from RefSeq and is a predicted model, not a curated record.
UAUGUGGGCAUCAUGCAUGCUUCUGCCUCCUUGGUCUUGCUAUUUCUUCUAUGUGAAGAAGCUGUUAAACCUGCAUAUGAUGUCUGCUAUGCCUCAAAACAAUGUUGGUUUUGGUGUGUUAAAAGGAAUGCAGAAAUGACUUAGAAGUUAGCAUGCUGAUGUAAGAACAAGUUAGGUUCAAGCACAGCCAGCUGCAAGGGGCUAUUUCCAGAACAAUAUGAAAUAGUUCCUGGAUCAGGGCAAAGGCAGUGGGAGGGUGGAGGUGCAGGGUCUGGAUCCCAUCCAUUACAGUCCAGUGAGUCAUAAGGCACCAGCAGGAACUGGCUAGAGUUGGGAUCCAGGAACUGCCUGCUGAACCAACUGAUUUAAUAGAGAGCUCUACCAGACCAAAGUGAAAAGUCUCCAGGACAGCCCUGGCAGAAACUGAUGAAACAUCAGCUGGAUAAAACUGUACUCUUGGGAGAUGAUGCAUAUCAAAUUAACUUCACGUUUUUUCUUGCUAUCUAGCUAUCAUGGCAGCAACAGCAUAAGUUUGUGAGAUUUGUCUUUUCAUCGCCUAUGAAAUAAUUUGCUUUGUGUUUUAUAUUCACAGUGUAUAAACGUGAGUGAUGUGCUGCAUCAGUUGUGACUAAUAAAGUCUGUACUUGAGCCCUGUGUGUUUCUUGUAUGAAGGAUGCAUCGUAAUUAAUCAAGAUAAUGUGCAUUCUUUUAUUAACUCAUAUAACAAUAGCUCUGCAGAGGAUCUCUUAUUUUUUAGUAGACGUUAUGCUUCAGAGGCUGUCAUACCUUUUCUUGCAUUAUAGCUCAUUGCAUGUAUUUACAUCCUCCGGAUUGUACAGCCACUCAUUGUUCCAGUGUUUUGUCACUGAAUUCACAGACUCAUUAAUUAACAAGCCUAUUAUAUUAUUAUGGUUUUGGGAAGGCUGAUGAUUCAGCAACAAAAAUUACAGUGUUGAGCAUCUGUUCACAUUAAAGAGACAAGGUGCCCUAAAUCAGGGAGCAACAUUGUGGCAUCGAUGACCAUAGAGAAGUCCCCUUUUAAGAUAUCUCAAUUUACUGAAUCAAGAACACAAAGGAAGUUAUUCAACACAAUAAGAAAUCUACUCAGGAUAUUUGUGGUCAGACAUUUGAAUUCAUAUGAAGUAAUAUGGUUCAAACAUCAGCUGUCUCCAUUCUGUUGUGUAAUGAGAGAUGAUAUUUGAGGAGUAGAAGGCUGCUAGAAGAAAAGUGCAAUUUAUUUAACUUCGAUUCAGUAUUUGUAGGAUUAACUGAGUAAAACUUGAUAAACUGAGUAAAACUUGCAAAGAGUUUUGGGAGAGGGGAAAUUAACCCCAUAUUCAUUGACCAUUUGUAGUUGGAUGUUUGUAGGACAGGUAUAAAGAACAGCAUGUUGGUAUUCAUAUUUGGCAUCUCAUUGGUUAAAAUAAUAAUAAUAAUAAUAAUUUUUCUGUCAAUAAAGAUGUAAGUCAUUUGUUUGCCAAUUUCCUCAUAAAGAACUCUGACAAGGCCUGUCCCUUCCCCCAUUUCUUUCUUUAAAUGCUGCAAACAAAGGAACGAUCUGGGCCAUUUUCAGAAACUGCACAUCACAUCAUUCUGAGCACCAACUAGAUUACUCAAAUGCAGGAGAGUCUUUUUCUGAAGUGUAGAGAUCAAUGCAUAAGGUAUUUGCAUACUGUGGCACUGCUGUUUUAACAAGGUCCGGACAGGGUUCACAGAGAUAUUGAGACUACCAAUUAAGUAAAUGUGAUUUGAAAUUGAAAGCUUUUUUAGGAGUGCUGUCUUUGGGACUACACCAAGCUUAGAUGAAAAACAAAAAAAUAAAAAAUAAAAAUAAAAAAAUAUUGAGAUAUCUGACAGUAGACUAAAGCUUGUGGUUAAGCCUCUUUGCCCUUCAAAAGGAUCAUAAAAGUAUCCUCAUAUAUAUACUACUGAAUGAUUUCUUAUUUACAAGUGCAUUAAAUCAGUGCUAAAGUGAGAAGGAUAUGUGCUUGAGGGCUACUUGCUUCCAGACUGCAGAGAUGACUAUUUUGAGAUUGUCAUCAAGAUGAUUUACAGUUAUGUGAAGUUUAGAGCCCUACAAGUAAUUCUCCCAUUGAUUAUGUUUACAGAAGGCCUUGCUUUACUUACCUGCUACAGCCCUUUUUCUUAGGUCCCACUUAUGAACAUUUUUAUUCAAAGGGGUAUUCUGAUCUAUUUAUGACAAUCUUUGUUCAUUUUUUUUUUCUCCUGUUGUACUCAAACCCCAUUCAGUUCAGAGUGCACAGUUUGCUAACCUACUGAAGUAAGGGCAAUAAUUAACUCUGCAAUGUACUCACAGAUUUGAAGCCAUUCAUGACCUAAAUAGCUUUUCCAUGGGCCAAUAGCGGUUAAAGCAGUUCUAAAAAAUACGUGGCUAGCUAAGUCUGCAUGGCUAGGAGCAGAGAAAUAAGGUAGAUGAAGGGUAGGAGGAAGGAUCCUAAGAAGGAGGAGUGUGGCCUCCCUCUUUGACAUAAGAAAACUCUCAUUUGGGUUAAGGUACCCUUAAAGCCACAACCACUGCAGGCUCAGUAAGAGAUGUGUGCUUGACGUCUUCAAAUGUGCCUGAUUUAGAGUUAAGCAGAGCAUGGGAGAAGCAGGACAUCCUAUUUCCAUUUUUAAAUUUUGAAUGCUAAGUUAAUGCAAAUUACUGUAAUCCAUCUUUCAUGCUAAAACUGUCUAUUUUGGAAUUUCAUUUUUAAUUUCUAUAACAUGAUUAUUUUUUUCUAGAAAAAUAUUUUUUCCAAAACUUUUAAAAAUACGAGACUGGGGAAUCCCAUGAGAAGUUUUGUUUUGGAUGAAUCAACAUUUUCUGAAAAACCACAACAACAAGACACAAACAAAGCAAACAAAAAACCCAGUCCACUGAAAAAUCCUGCCUUUUCCAAAUUUAACUUGUAGAAAAAAAAAAAAAAAUGGUUCUCUCAGUUCUACAAGUGCCCCUGUCAUAUGUAAAUAAUGUCACCUUCAGAGACAAAAAUGUGCCUCUGCUUCUCUUCAACUGCAUGUUCAGAGCCAGCCCAGUUGGUAGCUGUGUGGCUGGGCUCACUUGUGAAUCAUUAGCAUGGUUGCUGCAUUUCUUCCCACCUGUUCACUGUUGCAAAUGCCAUGAAGUUCUGCUGCUGCCAGCAGUAGCUAGUUCAGUCUGCAGGCUUGCUGAAAGUGGUAGUAAUUCAUGGCUAGGUGAAUAAAUUAGCAAGAGGCAGAAAUCAUUAUUGUUUGUACAUAUAAUACUUUCUGUCAAGAGUCUCUGAGGGAUGACGUGGUGUUUAUUUGUAUAGACUUGAUUUAUAUGCAGUAUCAUGACUUGCAUUGGCACAUCAGCACACUUCUAAGAAACUGAAUUAUACAGGGUAAUUACAUAAUUUACUUACAAUGGGAAGAUUCAUUCUAGGAAGUUUCUUCAAAGAAGUCUAUGCCCUGUUUCUCUAUCACAGUAACAGGCUUUCCACACCACCCUGAAAAAAAUAGCAGGCAUGCCUAAGAGCUACUGACAUCCCAAAGUAAGUGUAUGAUUCCAAAUUAAAGCUCUGCAGCCCCAUAUUUGUCUUUGAAUUUCACAGCUUUUCUUCCCCCUGCCUUUAUUCUGCACUUGCGGUGUGCAUGAAACUACUCUGGCACAUUCUAAGGCAUUUCAUCUUGUGGAGAAGUCCUGCUGAAAGCUGUCAAGGUCUAAAACUGUUUCUUAGCAGCAGAGUCCACAGGACAGAGGCUGUGCCUCCACUAGAUUUAUCAGCUGAGCUGUCCCCUCCAUUGUUUGGUUGCCAGAAUUGCAGAAGUUCAGUUCUGAUCAUGUCUUUCAGCUGUGAAAGGUGCAUAAAGUCCUUUUAGUAAAAAGCCAGGUCCAGGCGUCUAGCUGCACAUAGAUUUAGCCAUUUCCUGCUAUGCUUUAGCAGUUGUGCUCACCACUCCACAUCCUUCCUGCAGGGGCCUCUUUCUGCUCUCCUGUGAGAGCUUUCUUUAUGAGAAAUUAAACUGUGGCUUGAUCUGAUAUUGCCUGGCAGUGAUCCUAUUUUAGGAGCCACAGAAACAAUUGACUGUCUUCUUCCAUCCAUUAUUAUAGAUGCUGCAUGUCAGAGCUAAGCUGUUUUCCCUCUGAAUGUGGCGUUUCUCUGUCAGUGCCUUCUCUGUCGGUGAGCUUUAUCUGAUGAAAACUGUGUUAACCAGAGAAAUGUUUAAAAGGCAGUUAAGAAAAUCAAGAUAUUAUAAAUGGAAAAGUGAGUUAAAGAAUGCUGGAAAAAAUCAUUUGCAUAUACAGACUUGGAAAUUUAUCUUAAACUUCCAAUAUUUCCUAUGUAUGUAAGGAGUAAAUUCAGGGCUUGGGUGCAUGGUCACAGACUGACAACAAUUAUUUUUACUGAGUUAAUGAAAAAAAAAGCAUGCAACAAAAUGCCUACCUUGCAUUACCCUGCUUGAUUAUCUAGAAGGGAAAAACUGAAAAAAUAUUGUUGCUGGAGUAUUUAGGAACAUGGGGUUCAUAAAUUAUUUCUGAAUAGAGCAGAACUAUUUUUGAAUAGAGUAGAUUUUCUGCCUGUUUUUACACGUUCUUACCACUUUGCUUAUGCACAGUACAGUUUCUCGGGUUUUUUAGCUGUAUGUUUUCUGUCUAUGUUCAGGCAAGCAAAUAGCUAUGGCUGGAAUGGUAUUCACUGAAAAAUUACAAGGAAAAAUAUGUUUGUCUUUUUUUGGUCAAAUGCCUAUUCAUGAAAACUAACUUUACUCUGUGAACAGAGCCAAGGAGUUCCAAGUAAUGUCACUGCUAAAUAGGAGCACAAGCUCUUCACCUCCUUAAUCCGUUUUCACCUGAUUUCAGAGUAUGCAGGACAGAUGAUAGAAGAUCAGGACAAUAGGUGCCACACAAUAUGCAACAUGUUUUACUGGGGAGGAAACAUAUAAUUUAAAGAGCACAACCAUUCAUUUUCUUAAGCUGAAAGAAUUUUCUUCAAACAAAUACAGUAUGUAUCAUAACUAAUUUUUACCAACACACCUGAACCACCAAAGAGAGACCUAUAUAUCUGCCAGUCCUAAUGUGGCCAUGAUGUGUGUAUCUAAUCAAAAUAACAACAUUUAUUCUCCUUCAAAUAAAAGGAACAGAUGAUAAUCUGUUGCAGUGGCUGGAGGAACACAUCUGAGGUUCCCCUUGAAAUUGUUUGCUUUAGCUAUGGAGCAUAUGCUAAAAAGAGCUUUUCUGCAUGACUUCCUGUGUUUUCUCACUCCAUCCCUUUUUCUAGAGCCAUCCUCCAACCCUUUCUAUUUGACACUUUUUGUCAAAUUGGCUUAUUUUUUCUCUAAUGGUGUAGGCAUUAUUUCAGUUUCCCUUUUUCAUUGUAAAGUUUUUCUUUUUCCCACCCACCAAAAGAUUGUCUGGUGUUUAGUUGCCUGCUUCUCCCUGACAUUCAUUAGCAGCUGCAUGAAAAAUCUGUCAAUUUGCCACUGCCUCAUGUGCUUCCAGGAGAAACUCUUUCUCCUCCUGAGUAACUAAUGAAGAAAGAGCCAGCUGCAUGUUUCCUUGACUAUCUUGCAGUCUCUCUCAGCUGCCUUUCCUAAAUGUCAGGGACACUCUCCAGUGUGGUUACCAUGGUGCCUUCUGCUGGAAUGGCUGCAAGAGUUCACAUCAGCCAGCAAAACCACUGUACAUUUUAUAGGAACAUACUUUGAUAAAACAACUUACCUGCUAUAUCAUGGUUAAAUGGAACAUAACCAAAGGUGCUUUGGGGUGCAUGUUUUGUAUAAGAUUGGCCCCAAUUUUGUACCAUCUGAAUACAGUCAAUCAAUUAAGAAUAUCCACCUUGUCCUUCCAUUUGUGAUUGUACUGCUGUAUCUAUAGAUGUGUUAUAUGCUGCAUACCUGCUGGGGAGCUUGUCAACUCAGCAGUUCUAUACAUAAAUAUAAAAGCUGAUGAAUAACAGAGGUUUAUGUUAUGCUGCAUUCAUUAACUACCUUCUUUAAGAAGGUCUGAAAACAUUAUUUGUUUCCUCAUAACGUAUUAUUCAAUCUGAAACAAUGUCAUUAG